This 1617-nucleotide long non-coding RNA is filed under the name Pomacea canaliculata. RNAcentral describes it as "uncharacterized LOC112570158". The record is from RNAcentral. Lineage: Eukaryota; Metazoa; Mollusca; Gastropoda; Architaenioglossa; Ampullariidae.
UACUCCUCGUUUUUUUUUCAUCCACGAACUUAACGUUUUGCUUCUGUUCAGUAUGACCCGGAUAUAGAGAAGUCGCGAACCUUCAACUAUCAGCGAGGAAACGCCUUCACUAAGGUCAGCCGGUGGCUCAAGCCGCUCACCAGAGGACUCAGGACGCUGCAGGUGCACUACGCACACGCCAACGCUGAGCACAACGACCGGCUCAUCUUCGCGCAUUUACUUCGCGCGGCGCACGUGCGCAACGCUGCCGUGGAAGAAGGGGUGUACGUCACGGAGAGACGGCUUUACGCCCGUCGCCAUGACAACACGCCGCACGCUACCACCUUCUACAACACCGAUGACGUCAUCAAACGCGCGCUGAAGCGCGGCUCACGUGCCGCCGCAGACAGACACAACACGAAGCCAUGAGUUCUGAAGGAGGAGGCAUGAAUUACAUGUCAGCAACGCUGUCUUUGGGAAAUGAUUCCCGACGAUAUCAACCUGCUGAUGGACCACUGUUGGCAUCUCGGGGUGAAUCCUGCUCAUCAUCAGCGUCUGUGCACUGGAAAUAGGUUCUUGCACUUCCAGAAAACAGGCGACAAACUCUAGGAAACUACAGGCUGCCUGAGGCAGGGACUGGGACAGGCACUAUAAAAACUUCAGGCUCUAUGGAAUGUGGAAAGCUAUGAGCUCCCAGAGAACAUAGGACAAGCUGGAAAACAAUUGGUUUGAUCAGUGGCGAUUUCACAGAAAUUGUAAAUUUCUCAAGAAACUGUAGUGAAGUGGGCCCACAAAACCAAUGACCAGAACAAUAACAUCAUUUGGAUGCUUACAGAAAUGAUGGCAGUAGUGGUGGAAUAAACAACCUAUUAACACAGGAUAUGGUUGACCACAAAACCAAUACAUGCCUGUCGCCUAUCUUACACAGCAACAACAGAUCGAAAUUUUUGUUCUGUUAUCUAAGACAAAGAAUAGCGGACAGCCGGACAAAAUGCAAAUGCUAUGUAAACUUGUGUGUGUGUGUGUGUGCUUUUGAAGUUAAUGUGUAAGGACACAAGUUCUUUAGAGGCCACCAUAAUAGAACAGCACCAAAACACAAAAUGUGCCAGAUACAAUAUAUAAUCAACAAACGUUUAUUUUGGUCUUUUGAAAGCUACCUGAUGCUUAACAUGCCUAAAAAAAAAUUCCUGAGUAAAUACCAGUGACAAUAGUAUGUAAACCAACAGUAUAAAUGCUUUGUCAUAUCAUAAAUUGAUUGGUCAUUAAGGGCCAAACUUUUAGUUCAUGGCAGGAAAGAAUGGUUAGACCCCCAGGGAGGGAGAUAAGGUGCACACAUGGUGCCGGCUACCCAAGUGAUCAUUCUUCGCUAAUGCUUCCAUCUAGCCCGAAAAGUACUCUCCCCUCCCUCUGCUGGAUUGAAUCCAUUCUUUCAUGCUGUGGACUGAAAGUUCAGCCUUUAAACGACAUUCUAUGUAGCAAAAUACAACAUCCAAAUAAAAAAGUACAACAGCCUAUGUACCAUGUAUUGUCUAUGACAAAUCACCAUUACUAUUUUCAAAACAUCCACUGAUUGUAAGGGGAGAUGGGAGAUGUCAUGGUUUUGACAAUAAAGCAAAAAAUUACAUGGUCCUCAAAAGA